This 628-nucleotide ribosomal RNA is filed under the name Streptococcus anginosus. RNAcentral's name for it is "bacterial SSU rRNA". It matches the Rfam family "Bacterial small subunit ribosomal RNA", at positions 368 to 987 of the family's 1533-position model. Lineage: Bacteria; Bacillati; Bacillota; Bacilli; Lactobacillales; Streptococcaceae. The record is from RNAcentral.
GCAAUGGGGGGAACCCUGACCGAGCAACGCCGCGUGAGUGAAGAAGGUUUUCGGAUCGUAAAGCUCUGUUGUUAAGGAAGAACGAGUGUGAGAAUGGAAAGUUCAUACUGUGACGGUACUUAACCAGAAAGGGACGGCUAACUACGUGCCAGCAGCCGCGGUAAUACGUAGGUCCCGAGCGUUGUCCGGAUUUAUUGGGCGUAAAGCGAGCGCAGGCGGUUAGAAAAGUCUGAAGUGAAAGGCAGUGGCUCAACCAUUGUAGGCUUUGGAAACUGUUUAACUUGAGUGCAGAAGGGGAGAGUGGAAUUCCAUGUGUAGCGGUGAAAUGCGUAGAUAUAUGGAGGAACACCGGUGGCGAAAGCGGCUCUCUGGUCUGUAACUGACGCUGAGGCUCGAAAGCGUGGGGAGCGAACAGGAUUAGAUACCCUGGUAGUCCACGCCGUAAACGAUGAGUGCUAGGUGUUAGGUCCUUUCCGGGACUUAGUGCCGCAGCUAACGCAUUAAGCACUCCGCCUGGGGAGUACGACCGCAAGGUUGAAACUCAAAGGAAUUGACGGGGGCCCGCACAAGCGGUGGAGCAUGUGGUUUAAUUCGAAGCCACGCGAAGAACCUUACCAGGUCUUGACAU